This 405-nucleotide ribosomal RNA is filed under the name uncultured bacterium. RNAcentral describes it as "bacterial SSU rRNA". It matches the Rfam family "Bacterial small subunit ribosomal RNA", at positions 353 to 774 of the family's 1533-position model. The record is from RNAcentral.
UGAGGGAAUAUUUGCACAAUGGAGGAAACUACUGAUGCAGCAACGCCGCGUGGAGGAUGACGCAUUUCGGUGUGUAAACUCCUUUUAUGAGUCAAGAAAAUGACGGUAGCUCAUGAAUAAGCACCGGCUAACUCCGUGCCAGCAGCCGCGGUAAUACGGAGGGUGCAAGCGUUAUUCGGAAUCACUGGGCGUAAAGGACGCGUAGGCGGGAAGCCAAGUCUGAUGUGAAAUCCUAUGGCUUAACCAUAGAACUGCAUUGGAAACUGGUUACCUAGAGUAUGGGAGGGGGAGAUGGAAUUAGUGGUGUAGGGGUAAAAUCCGUAGAUAUCACUAGGAAUACCGAAAGCGAAGGCGAUCUCCUGGAACAAUACUGACGCUAAGGCGUGAAAGCGUGGGGAGCAAACG